This 653-nucleotide ribosomal RNA is filed under the name uncultured bacterium. RNAcentral's name for it is "bacterial SSU rRNA". It matches the Rfam family "Bacterial small subunit ribosomal RNA", at positions 202 to 842 of the family's 1533-position model. The record is from RNAcentral.
AAAAGGUGGCUAUGCUACCGCUUUUGGAUGGGCCCGCGGCGCAUUAGCUAGUUGGUGGGGUAAAGGCUUACCAAGGCAAUGAUGCGUAGCCGAACUGAGAGGUUGAUCGGCCACAUUGGGACUGAGACACGGCCCAAACUCCUACGGGAGGCAGCAGUAGGGAAUCUUCCACAAUGGGCGAAAGCCUGAUGGAGCAACGCCGCGUGGGUGAAGAAGGUCUUCGGAUCGUAAAACCCUGUUGUUAGAGAAGAAAGUGCGUGAGAGUAACUGUUCACGUUUCGACGGUAUCUAACCAGAGAGCCACGGCUAACUACGUGCCAGCAGCCGCGGUAAUACGUAGGUGGCAAGCGUUAUCCGGAUUUAUUGGGCGUAAAGGGAACGCAGGCGGUCUUUUAAGUCUGAUGUGAAAGCCUUCGGCUUAACCGGAGUAGUGCAUUGGAAACUGGGAGACUUGAGUGCAGAAGAGGAGAGUGGAACUCCAUGUGUAGCGGUGAAAUGCGUAGAUAUAUGGAAGAACACCAGUGGCGAAAGCGGCUCUCUGGUCUGUAACUGACGCUGAGGUUCGAAAGCGUGGGUAGCAAACAGGAUUAGAUACCCUGGUAGUCCACGCCGUAAACGAUGAAUGCUAAGUGUUGGAGGGUUUCCGCCCUUCA